CCCACCUCUAUAGUUGAAGGGGUCUUGCCUUGCAGGUUACUUGGUGACCUUACUAUUGCUGGUGCUAUGUAAAAUGCACCCAGUACACUCUAAAGUGGUUGGUAUCAGCAAGGACAUCCAGAUGUAAAAAUGAUGCCAAAGUAGACAUUGGGAGCUAAGUGCAGUCCUCUGGCCUGCUGGCUUCUGUCCAACCCAUGCCAGCAUAGAAAAUGGGUGUUAAAUGGGAAUGAUGGUGUGUUUAUAGAAUUGAGUGUACUUCAGUUAUUGUUAUUAGUUUUAAUUAGCCAUAGUAAGUUCUUUCCCAUAUGGCAGUGGUAUUCUCUUUACAAUUUAUAAAAGAUGACAUAGAAUAUUGGGAAUUUGAUAGUGCAGGCUCCUCUGUUUCACAUAUUUUCAAUAUAUUUUGUAUGAACCAGUGAGGGAGUGUCUAUGCGGUUGCUCAAACAGCUAGAGGUAGAAGCCAAAUCUACCCCAAUAUCACUGUCUUACAAUCUUGAGAAGCAGGGACACAAUGGAUAUAGGGGUUCUGACAGGCUGCAGCAUCAUUGAUCAUAAGUCUGCUUGAUUAGUGCUGACCUUUGGCUAAACAUUAUUAUUCUACAAUCAAUUUACCAAGGCUGGUCUCUUGCAAUGGAUUACAAGGGAGGAAUGAAUGAAAACAAUGUUGAUAUCGGCAUUGCUGCUACCACUUUAAAGCCAACACCAGAAGAAAUCACUGUCAGUGUUCCGGAAAAUGUGACAGCAAUAGUCAUGAAUGAAGUUGGUGAUCCUACAGUGGCUUUGACAGGCUCUACAAAUGUAGCAGUCGAUGGUGAAGACACUGUCACAACUACUGUUGCUGAAGGGUUGACUGUAUCGAAUUCGGUUAUUAAUGUCGAACCACCAAUAGCAAAACCACCACCUCGGGUUGUAAAUACAGCACAUUUAAUGACACAUAUUGUCAAUCCAGAUUUGAGUGAUGACUCAGUUUUUUCUGGAGAUGAUGAUUCCUGUGAUGGGGAGCCAGCAGAGAAGCGGAUGAAGUUAGAACAAGAUAUCAAUAUUGAUAUGGACCAAUCGUUAAAGCAAAUUUUAUUUAAUAUCAACAAGGCAAUCUGUUUAAGGCUUGAUAGUAUAGAAAACAAGCUUGAAAAUGUUGGAUUACGAACAAAAUAUUUGGAAGUUAAACUACUAGAUUUGGUAAAUCAGAAUAAGACUGGCAGUAGCAAUACAAAUUCAUACGCUAUGAAACGAGGCUCCACAUCUCCUUCACGACGUUCCGGUGCCCUUAUCGUUGGUCUUCCACAAGACAGAAAUAGUGAGGAUGAGAGUCAAUUUCAGAAAGGAAUAGAUUCUGAUAUCUUACAAACCAUGCAAUUAGAAAACAAAGACAAAAAAGGCAAGUUGUUGACUCCCAGUGAUUUCAAUUCAAAUGUGGAUAGUAACUUCAGAAACAUUGGUCCAAAUGUUACAUUAAUAACAUUAAAUUCUGAAGAGGAUUAUCCAAAUGGGUGCUGGCUUGGUGAUGAGCUUAAUCUUGAAAUGCGGGUGCGUGUGCCUAUAUCUUCAAGUGACCUUCUUCAUAUUCAUUCUAAUUGUCGAACAGCUGAAAAAAUGGCAUUGACUCUACUUGAUUAUUUGUUUGACCGAGAAACACAAGCUUGUUCUAAUCUGUCUGGUAUGGGUAAACAUGGCAAGAAGCAGUUGGAUCCUUUGAUGAUCUAUGGCAUAUGGUGUCAUUUAAUACAACGGUUUAAGAUCAAUGAAUCUGACUGGCAACGAAUCAAACAGAACAUAGACUCCAAAUGUAGAACAGCUUUCCGUAGAAAGUCAAGAGGUUUGCCUCUUGCUGUAAAGGCUUUCCGUGGAAGAGCCCCACCAAGUUAUGUUCAUAACACAGGGUUUAAUUUUAAUUCAGUCGUGAAUUCACAGAGUAAUUUUUAUGAUUCAAAUCUACAUGAAGACACAAAAUUUCAUAUACAACAGCAGAGUGAACUAGAUAUUCAGCAAGCUGUUACAAUGCAAGGUGAAGCCUUACAGCAAGGGGAGAUUCAAAUCCUGCAUGCUACACCAGAACAGAUAUCACAGCUACAACAUGCACAACACAUUCAAAUUUUACAAGGUGAUCAAGUCAUACAGCAACUUCAGAGUGCUGAUAACCAAGAAGGUGUCCAAGUUGUUUCAAUGGGUACUCCUGACAGAGUUCAUGUUGCCACAGUGACAACAGAAAAUGGAGAGAUAGUUCACAUUCACCAGGCUCGUUCAUUGGCAAAUGUAGGUGCAUCGACAGCAACAACAGCAGCAACACCAACAAUAACAACAGCAACAACGGAUGGUAGCCAAACCAAUGUAUAGCAGGUAUCCAAGCCUUGACGUCUACUUUUCUAGUUGUGUCUAUGGCUGACAGCUCUUCUACUUUGGUGAAAUAACAAAAUUACUAUAUAUAUAUAUAUAUAUAUAUAGCAUAUAUAUAUAACAUGUAUACUCGAGUAAACACAUAAAUGUGAAACAAGGUGGGAAAAAAUAGUUCUUGGAUACCAGAAGUAGAGUGAUAUGUGUGUGUGUGUGUGUAUAUAUAUAUAUAUAUAUGUAUAUAAUAUACUCAUGUGGAUAUUAUAUAUGUGUGUGUGUGUGUAUA
Molecule: unclassified non-coding RNA, 2617 nt
Filed under: Octopus sinensis (East Asian common octopus)
Lineage: Eukaryota; Metazoa; Mollusca; Cephalopoda; Octopoda; Octopodidae
Description: protein BANP, transcript variant X3
Source: RNAcentral